AACGGAUUUGGCGGCAAGAUAGCCCUUUAGAGGAACCUGCCCUGUAAACGAUGAACCACGAAUACUUUACUUUCUUUUGUAGAUCAGUUUGUAUAUCGCUGUUGUCAGUUGAAUUUUAGAAAAUAUUUUCGUUAAUGAAAAAAUCAUUGACUUCAAGUAAAGGUGCAGCUUAUAGGAAAGAUAGAGGUGGGUUACAUUUAGAAGAUUAAAAUGGAUUGGAAAAAGAAAUAUUUCAUGAAGGUGGAUUUAACAGUAAAAUUUAAUAAAGUUUGAUUGGAGCUCUAUCUUGUGUACACACCGCCCGUC
RNAcentral lists this ribosomal RNA (306 nucleotides) under Tetraclitella divisa. RNAcentral's name for it is "partial 12S ribosomal RNA". Lineage: Eukaryota; Metazoa; Arthropoda; Thecostraca; Balanomorpha; Tetraclitidae. The record is from RNAcentral.